UAGGGAAUCUUCGGCAAUGGGGGCAACCCUGACCGAGCAACGCCGCGUGAGUGAAGAAGGUUUUCGGAUCGUAAAGCUCUGUUGUAAGAGAAGAACGAGUGUGAGAGUGGAAAGUUCACACUGUGACGGUAACUUACCAGAAAGGGACGGCUAACUACGUGCCAGCAGCCGCGGUAAUACGUAGGUCCCGAGCGUUAUCCGGAUUUAUUGGGCGUAAAGCGAGCGCAGGCGGUUAGAUAAGUCUGAAGUUAAAGGCUGCGGCUUAACCAUAGUACGCUUUGGAAACUGUUUAACUUGAGUGCAGAAGGGGAGAGUGGAAUUCCAUGUGUAGCGGUGAAAUGCGUAGAUAUAUGGAGGAACACCGGUGGCGAAAGCGGCUCUCUGGUCUGUAANNGACGCUGAGGCUCGAAAGCGUGGGGAGCAAACAGGAUUAGAUACCCUGGUAGUCCACGCCGUAAACGAUGAGUGCUAGGUGUUGGGUCCUUUCCGGGACUCAGUGCCGCAGCUAACGCAUUAAGCACUCCGCCUGGGGAGUACGACCGCAAGGUUG
RNAcentral lists this ribosomal RNA (550 nucleotides) under uncultured bacterium. Its description in RNAcentral is "bacterial SSU rRNA". It matches the Rfam family "Bacterial small subunit ribosomal RNA", at positions 355 to 896 of the family's 1533-position model. The record is from RNAcentral.